AAUAGAUACCCAGGUAGUCCACGCCGUAAACGAUGAGUGCUAAGUGUUAGAGGGUUUCCCGCCCGUUUAGUGCUGCAGCUAACGCAUUAAGCACUCCGCCUGGGGAGUACGGCCGCAAGGCUGAAACUCAAAGGAAUUGACGGGGGGCCCGCACAAGCGGUGGAGCAUGUGGUUUAAUUCGAAGCAACGCGAAGAACCUUACCAGGUCUUGACAUCCUCUGCCAACCCUAGAGAUAGGGCGUUCCCCUUCGGGGGACAGAGUGACAGGUGGUGCAUGGUUGUCGUCAGCUCGUGUCGUGAGAUGUUGGGUUAAGUCCCGCAACGAGCGCAACCCUUAAUCUUAGUUGCCAGCAUUUAGUUGGGCACUCUAAGGUGACUGCCGGUGACAAACCGGAGGAAGGUGGGGAUGACGUCAAAUCAUCAUGCCCCUUAUGACCUGGGCUACACACGUGCUACAAUGGACGGUACAAAGAGCUGCGAACCCGCGAGGGUAAGCGAAUCUCAUAAAGCCAUUCUCAGUUCGGAUUGUAGGCUGCAA
Molecule: ribosomal RNA, 538 nt
Filed under: uncultured bacterium
Lineage: Bacteria
Description: bacterial SSU rRNA
Rfam family: Bacterial small subunit ribosomal RNA
Source: RNAcentral